RNAcentral lists this transfer RNA (70 nucleotides) under Salmo salar (Atlantic salmon). It matches the Rfam family "tRNA". From Rfam's summary of the family: Transfer RNA (tRNA) molecules are approximately 80 nucleotides in length. Their secondary structure includes four short double-helical elements and three loops (D, anti-codon, and T loops). The record is from Rfam by way of RNAcentral. Lineage: Eukaryota; Metazoa; Chordata; Actinopteri; Salmoniformes; Salmonidae.
ACCCGUGUGGCUCAGUUGGUAGAGUAUGGUGUUUGCAAUGCCAGGGUUGUGGGUUCAAUUCCCAUGGGUG